CAAGCUUUAUAAGCAAACAAUUAAGGCAAUAUCGAGGUAAUACUCACAGUAUGCACAUAUGCCAAUUAGAGACUGACCAGUUGCAGUCCUAAAAACAUCAAUGUGAAGAUUCAACCAAACAAUACCAUGUGGAUUCAAAUCAUAAUCAAUGUUUAGAGAAACUAGGUGACAUGAUUAUUAACGAGUUACAAUGAUAUAUACAUUAAAAUUCUGUCUUUUAAUAGAUUCUCAGUUUUAAUGCUACUUUAUAUAUCCUGUAUGUCCUAUAUUCAAAUCAUCCUGUCUAUAUCAAAUAUUUUCUAAUGAUAAUAAUACACUACUACUAGUGAUUAUGCUGCGCUUUUGACGCUUGUGAAAUCUGUAUUCAUUAUUCCAUCUCACCGGUAUUACUUCACUUACUUACGCCUGUUACCCCUCGUGGAGGAGU
Molecule: transfer RNA, 427 nt
Filed under: Schistosoma mansoni
Lineage: Eukaryota; Metazoa; Platyhelminthes; Trematoda; Strigeidida; Schistosomatidae
Source: RNAcentral